RNAcentral lists this ribosomal RNA (245 nucleotides) under uncultured Faecalibacterium sp. Its description in RNAcentral is "partial 16S ribosomal RNA". It matches the Rfam family "Bacterial small subunit ribosomal RNA", at positions 524 to 768 of the family's 1533-position model. The record is from RNAcentral. Lineage: Bacteria; Bacillati; Bacillota; Clostridia; Eubacteriales; Oscillospiraceae.
UACGUAGGUGGCAAGCGUUAUCCGGAAUUACUGGGUGUAAAGGGAGCGCAGGCGGGUCAGCAAGUCAGCGGUGAAAUUUAUGGGCUCAACCCAUAACCUGCCGUUGAAACUGUUGAUCUUGAGUGGAGUAGAGGUAGGCGGAAUUCCGAGUGUAGCGGUGAAAUGCGUAGAUAUUCGGAGGAACACCAGUGGCGAAGGCGGCCUACUGGGCUCUAACUGACGCUGAGGCUCGAAAGUGUGGGGAG